UGGCUGUGUGGGCGCACGGAUGACAGAGUAGGAAGUCAUCUCUUAAAUCCUACUCCCUCUGUGCCACGGCUUUAUUUUGCCAAAGCCCUAGCUGUGACUGGGAGCCUACAGAUCCACCACCACCUCAGCAGAGAUCCGCUCUAUCUCCCACGCUUCGUUACUGCUGUUUUUCCUGAGUUUGAGAAACUGAUGCUGGAGGCUUUGGUGUCUUAUUGGGUUUAUGUGAGUGGUGAAAUCCCCCGAUCAACAGCCACGCAGCUAUCUGAUGCUGACGAAAGUUGUCAUCUGCACAACAUCAUUUGGGGCAGAAUGAGGACACCCACUUUGCAGCUGAUCACACAGGCAAACAAAUAAACAAAUGCGGCUUGGGGUGUAUGUGGGGUGUGUCAGAGGGGCAGUCCCCCUGCAGGAUUCGCACUCAGACACCCCUGAAAAGUUCUUCACUUCUCCUUCCAAAUCAGCACAAAGUCAGCAGAAGCGAGGGAAAGAGAAUCCCCAGUCCCCUUCAGGCCAGCGGGGAAAAGGCUGAAUGGACUAAAGCAGACAUCUGAGAAGCUCGCAGUGUCCCAAACUGCACAGCUGAGGAAUCAGCUGCCAAGAGGCUAUUGGACUGGCAGGAGGAAAAAGUGUGUGUGAUUAACAUACAAUGUCAAGUCAUUUGAUAUGUUACAACACAACAAUAUUAUGCAAACUAUUUAAAUAUUCAAAAAGUCUUUUAAUAUUUAUCCCUUCAAUGACACUUGACUGUGUCUGAAACCCCACGAAGGCCAUCCUGGCUGGCUUCUUGUAUGCACAGCCAUGGUGUGCCCUUGUACGUAUGUGUGUGUGGACUUGGCCACAGAAACCUCUCACUAAUGCUGCUUUCUAAAUCCUGCCGAUGCAUUCUCUUUGAAACCAGAGCGCUUGUCUAAUUCAGCGUAAAAUUGAAGGGCUGCAGACACCCCCAAACCUCAUUCAGCUAUGAAUUUAAUGCCUGAUGAGGAAACAGUCUCUUAUUUUAAUAGUUUACAGCAGCACUAAUGAUGAUCUUCUGAAGUAACUGAACAGGAAAGAAAAGAGAGGGAAAUCUUUGAUCUUUCCUCUGUUUUAAAGUUGUUGGAGGUGAGGGUUUGCACAGUCUGCCUAAUGUGCUGUUUUGGCAAACACUACAG
This is a long non-coding RNA of Astatotilapia calliptera (eastern happy), 1151 nucleotides long. The record is from Ensembl. Lineage: Eukaryota; Metazoa; Chordata; Actinopteri; Cichliformes; Cichlidae.